This 3117-nucleotide ribosomal RNA is filed under the name Eriocheir sinensis (Chinese mitten crab). Its description in RNAcentral is "eukaryotic LSU rRNA". The stretch from base 1693 to 3117 matches the Rfam family "Eukaryotic large subunit ribosomal RNA", at positions 1891 to 3319 of the family's 3401-position model. The record is from RNAcentral. Lineage: Eukaryota; Metazoa; Arthropoda; Malacostraca; Decapoda; Varunidae.
ACCCAGGCUCAUCGAGUAUAUCAGUCAGAUGUACAAGUCGGCAGCUACCGAAAUUGACGCAGGCGACCCGUUAACAUCCAAAGGGGCGUCCUGCAGGGGAUCCCUCUCCCCCUACCUGUUUAACAUAUGCCUAGACUGGGCCCUGGCUACUCUCCCAAAGAGAUCGGGGUCAAGGUGGGUAGUUGCCACAUCAACUAUCUCGCCUUCGCCGAUGAUGUGGCGCUUCUUGCUUCGACUCGCCCCGGCCUCCAGGCCGCCCUCGAUCGCCUAACAGAGGCAGCGGCGGCCUCGGGGCUCGAGGUGGGAAUUGGCAAGUGCGCCACGCUCGGCAUAGUAGCCGACAAAAAGAGAAGAACAUGGGCCCAAGAUACAACCCCCUUUAAGAUCACGGGGAGGCCUGUGCAAGCUCUGGCACCCGGGGAAUUCUAUAAGUACCUGGGUGUCCAGAUGGGCGCCAGCGGAGGGCUACGGCGUUCCGAGCGCACGAAGACCUGGUGCGCAAGCUUGCCAGGCUGAGGAAAGCACCGGCAAAGCCCCAGCAAAAGCUCUGGGGCUUAACGAAGAUCAUUGUCCCUCAGCUACUGUACCCACUGGUAAACAUGGCUGCUACGGCCGGCCAGCUAGGCCGUAUAGACAAGGCCGUCAGACGGGCAGUCCGGUCCUACCUCCACCUCCAAUGGAUACCCCCCUGGGGUUCUUCCAUGCGGCAGAAGUGGACGGAGGACUGUCACACGGGUGCCUCGCCUCAAGGAGGAUCUUCUCCAGAGGUUGAGAGAUUCCAGCGACCCGGUGGUUCAGCACGCCGUGCACCCAGUGGGCAGGUGCCUCCUCCAAGCAGUACACCACGCUUGAGGAAGGCGGCUGAGAGGAGCCGGUGGUCUAGGCAGCUGCACGAGGCAGUUGAUGGCUCGGGGCUAAGGUGCCUCUGAGACACCUGCCUCAAGCAGCUGGAUACAAGACGGUACACUUCUCCUCAAGGGGGGCGAUUUCUGCCGAGCAGUGAAGCUGCGGGGCAACCUGCUCAGUACGAAAGCCCGACUCGCGAGGGGGAGGCGGUGGACGAUGUCAACUGCGACCUCUGCCGCAGACACCCGGAGAGCCUGGGCCACAUAAUGCAGCGCUGUCCUGCGGUCCAGGUUGCUCGUACUCGUCGCCACGACCGAAUACUCGACUUUGUAGCGGGCAGGCUUGAGGAUGCGGGUUUCAAGGUUCUCAAAGAACCAGCUAUACCAACCACAGCGGGAACCCGCAUCCCCGACAUCGUAGCCGCCCGCGAGGACUGGGGCUCGGUAGUGCUAGAUGUUCAGGUGGUCGCUGAUGCGGCUGCAGGGGAUUUGAACACUGCACACCAAAGAAAAUACGCCUACUAUGAUGUUCCUGACAUCAGGCGUUGGGUCCAGUCCACAACAGGGUACCCCUCCUGCCUCUCUACCAUCACCGUGAGCUGGAGGGGCAUCCUAGCCCGCCCCACAGUGUAUACCUGGAAGGAACUUGGGCUACGCAAGUCAGACUUAAAAGUCCUGGUAGCCCGAGUCCUAGAGGGCGGACUAAAUAUAUACAGAGAGUUCUCAAGACAAGUGGGGGGGUGGCCCACCACCCCGGCUGAUAGGGGCUAGCAGUCCCCAUCAUUUAUAAUAGAGGCAAAAUUCCUCCUCACCACAAAUACAUGCUUUCGGCGUUUUCGCGUUUAUUUAGAUCAUUUUAAGCUGAGCGCUGCGUUUAUAACAGCAGCGUCCCAGCAGAAUUAGGCUUUUAAAAUGAAUAUCAAAAUAAAUUAUUAAUUGAAAAUUAUAUAAACAUAUAAAAUCACAAUAAAAGUAAUAAUUAUAUUUAAAUAAAAUAAAUAAAUCAAUCAAAUAAAUUAAUAACUCUAUUAUAAAUAAGAAACUUUGCACAGAGAGUAAAAAAAAAAAAAAAAAAAAAAAAAAAAAAAAAAAAAAAAAAAAAAAAAUAGCAAAAUGCCCUCGUCAUCUAAUUAGUGACGCGCAUGAAUGGAUUAACGAGAUUCCCACUGUCCCUAUCUACUAUCUAGCGAACCCACAGGCAGGGGAACGGGCCUGCGCCUAACAGCGGGGAAAGAAGACCCUGUUGAGCUUGACUCUAGUCUGAUUUUGUAGAGAGACAUCAGAGGUGUAGCAUAAGUGGGAGGUCGUCACAUCAGGGGCUUGCUCCGUGCGGCCGACAAUGAAAUACCACUACUCUGAUCGUUUCUUUACUUACUCGGUGAGACGGAAUCGGAGCUUCCCCACGUGGGAUUGCCUCCUGUUUCUAGCCUAAAGCGGCGGAAGGGAGGGCGCGCUUGGUUUCGGCCUUGCGUUAGCCUGACCGGGCGUUCGCGCCCGCCGCGAUCCGCUCCGAGGACAUUAUCAGGUGGGGAGUUUGACUGGGGCGGUACAUCUGUCAAACGAUAACGCAGGUGUCCUAAGGCCAGCUCAGCGUGGACAGAAACCUCGCGUAGAGCAAAAGGGCAAAUGCUGGCUUGAUCCUGAUUUCAGUACGAAUACGGACUGCGAAAGCAGGGCCUAUCGAUCCUUUUGACUUUAUGAGUUUUAAGAGGUGUCAGAAAAGUUACCACAGGGAUAACUGGCUUGUGGCCAAGCGUUCAUAGCGACGUCGCUUUUUGAUCCUUCGAUGUCGGCUCUUCCUAUCAUUGUGAAGCAGAAUUCACCAAGCGUUGGAUUGUUCACCCAUAAAAAGGGAACGUGAGCUGGGUUUAGACCGUCGCGAGACAGGUUAGUUUUACCCUACUGUUGGCAGUUGUGUCGUUGAUACAGCAGUCCUGCUCAGUACGAGAGGAACGGCAGGUCCGGACAUAUGGUUCCGCUCUUGGUCGAUCGGCCAGUGGAGCGAGGCUACGUCCGUGGGAUUAUGCCUGAAAGCCUCUAAGGCAGAAUCCCGGCUGGAUGACCAACGAUACCGCGUACGGCCUGCAUCGGGAUGGUCACCAUUGAAUUUUCGAGAGAUUCGCUCCCCGCUCGUUCGCGGGCGGGGCUAGAAGAUGGACCCGUGCAGAGGGAACUCGGGAGUGCCUCGACAAACAGGUUCAGGCUCUCCCCUCCCUAGUAGAGAACACCCAGAUGCUGAUGUGCCGUACCGAAUCGUUCGCAGACGACUUAC